This 485-nucleotide ribosomal RNA is filed under the name uncultured bacterium. RNAcentral's name for it is "bacterial SSU rRNA". It matches the Rfam family "Bacterial small subunit ribosomal RNA", at positions 355 to 858 of the family's 1533-position model. The record is from RNAcentral.
UUAGGAAUUUUGGGCAAUGGGCGAAAGCCUGACCCAGCAACGCCGCGUGGGUGAAGAAGGUCUUCGGAUCGUAAAGCCCUUUUCUGUGGGAAGAUGAUGACGGUACCACAGGAAUAAGCAUCGGCUAACUACGUGCCAGCAGCCGCGGUAAUACGUAGGAUGCGAGCGUUGUCCGGAUUUAUUGGGCGUAAAGAGCGCGCAGGUGGUUGGAUAAGUUGGGUGUGAAAGACCCUGGCUUAACUAGGGGAGGUCAUCCAAAACUAUCCAGCUUGAGGGCAGCAGAGGAAAGUGGAAUUCCCGGUGUAGUGGUGAAAUGCGUAGAUAUCGGGAGGAACACCAGUGGCGAAGGCGGCUUUCUGGGCUGUCACUGACGCUGAGGCGCGAAGCGUGGGGAGCGAACCGAUUAGAUACUCGGGUAGUCCACGCCCUAAACGAUGGACACUAGGUGUAGGGGGUAUCGACCCCCCUGUCGCCGAAGCUAACGC